CAUUAAAUGGCUGAAAAAAGUGAUGGUCUCUUAAACCAUUUUAUAUCGUUAAUCGAUUUUAAUGA
RNAcentral lists this transfer RNA (65 nucleotides) under Neelides sp. FZ-2019. RNAcentral's name for it is "tRNA-Lys". It matches the Rfam family "tRNA". From Rfam's summary of the family: Transfer RNA (tRNA) molecules are approximately 80 nucleotides in length. Their secondary structure includes four short double-helical elements and three loops (D, anti-codon, and T loops). Lineage: Eukaryota; Metazoa; Arthropoda; Collembola; Neelipleona; Neelidae. The record is from RNAcentral.